AACGCGAAGAACCUUACCUGGAUUUGACAUCCCCGGACAGCCCUAGAGAUAGGGUUUUGGUAGCAAUACCACUGGGAGACAGGUGCUGCAUGGCUGUCGUCAGCUCGUGUGGUGACAUGUUGGGUUAAGUCCCGCAACGAGCGCAACCCUUGUCCUUAGUUGCCAGCAUUAAGUUGGGCUCUCUAAGGAGACUGCCGGUGAUAAGCCGCGAGGAAGGUGGGGAUGACGUCAAGUCCUCAUGGCCCUUACGGGCUGGGCUACACACGUGCUACAAUGGCGGUGACAAUGGGACGCGAAGGGGCAACCCCUAGCAAAUCUCAAAGAGCCGUCUCAGUUCGGAUUGGGCUCUGCAACUCGAGACCAUGAAGUUGGAAUCGCUAGUAAUCGUGGAUCAGCACGCCACGGUGAAUACGUUCACGGGCCUUGUACACACCGACGCGUA
Molecule: ribosomal RNA, 442 nt
Filed under: uncultured bacterium
Lineage: Bacteria
Description: bacterial SSU rRNA
Rfam family: Bacterial small subunit ribosomal RNA
Source: RNAcentral